GAUAAUUUAGUGGCCUUCCUACUU
Molecule: microRNA, 24 nt
Filed under: Brachypodium distachyon (stiff brome)
Lineage: Eukaryota; Viridiplantae; Streptophyta; Magnoliopsida; Poales; Poaceae
Description: bdi-miR7780-5p
Source: miRBase by way of RNAcentral